UACAGAGGGUGCGAGCGUUAAUCGGAAUUACUGGGCGUAAAGCGUGCGCAGGCGGUUGUGCAAGUCAGAUGUGAAAUCCCCGGGCUUAACCUGGGAACUGCAUUUGUGACUGCACAGCUGGAGUGCGGCAGAGGGGGAUGGAAUUCCGCGUGUAGCAGUGAAAUGCGUAGAGAUGCGGAGGAACACCGAUGGCGAAGGCAGCCCCCUGGGCCAAUACUGACGCUCAGGCACGAAAGCGUGGGGAGCAAACAGG
RNAcentral lists this ribosomal RNA (253 nucleotides) under uncultured bacterium. RNAcentral describes it as "partial 16S ribosomal RNA". It matches the Rfam family "Bacterial small subunit ribosomal RNA", at positions 524 to 776 of the family's 1533-position model. The record is from RNAcentral.